AUGAAUUUGGGGGAACACAGAUAUUCAGUCCAUAGUGCUGCUCCUUAUCAACUUGUAGUUAAUAAGGACAAAGUAUAUCAACGUUACCAGACCACAUCUCUGGAUUAUUCAGAGUCUGCUAUUUCUGUUUGUACUACCAGACCUGAGAAUAUUUAUGGUAAUGUCUGUGGUCCUAGCUUCUUGUCUUGCCCAUCUUCUCUCUCAUCCUGUCUAAUCAUUUACAGGUCAAUUCUCCCACUCUUACUUGUUGCAGCUCCCAUUCCUGCUGACUUCUGCUUUGGGUCAAUUGUAGCUCCUGGAAGAUCAUUCCAGAAAUCCUGGAAAUCCAGAUGUUAGUUACAAACAAACAUUUAAAACUGGGCCAGCGUAUUGAAAAACAGAUAAAUGUCUGUACUCCAUAUUUGACUCUCCAAGAGGCAGUUUACAGCCUCCGUUAGAAGACUUAACGCAUUUCUUUGUCUAAGACUAGACAAAGAGCUUAGUCCACAACUGAAAUACACUUAAAAACAGCAACAAAAACAAUCAUGCUGCUUAAAAUCCUUCAAUGGCUUUGAACUCUGAUUGAUGUGAAAUCCAGCAUUCUUCAUAGCCCAAGUCUUCACAUGAUCUGGCAACUUCCCGAUUCCCCAGCUUCUGGGCAAGCUGCUGUCCUCUUUGCUUGCCAUGGUCCACCUAUAACAAUCUUCUCGCUUUUCAGAAAUGUUAAGCUCUUCCCAUCUCAGGUAGUUUCACAUUAUUGCCUCUGCUUAGAAUGCCUUUCCUCUUUUUUUCAACUGUUGAAAUCUUUUUUCUAGUUUUAAAUUUCUUAUUGAUG
Molecule: long non-coding RNA, 814 nt
Organism: Pan paniscus (pygmy chimpanzee)
Lineage: Eukaryota; Metazoa; Chordata; Mammalia; Primates; Hominidae
Source: Ensembl